UAAUAGCUAGUUUAUACAAAAUAAAUGAUUUCGACUCAUUAGAUUAUGAUUUACUCAUAGCUAUUAA
This 67-nucleotide transfer RNA is filed under the name Phataginus tricuspis (Tree pangolin). Its description in RNAcentral is "Manis tricuspis (Tree pangolin) tRNA-Arg". The record is from RNAcentral. Lineage: Eukaryota; Metazoa; Chordata; Mammalia; Pholidota; Manidae.